CUUUGCAGGGGCUAGGUGGGGGAGAUUACCUGCUAAACGGAGGGCAGGUAGAAUAUGGCUGAAAGGCAAAGGUGUCUAUAGCACCUGUGAAGCAAGAUCAAAAGAAUACGGGAAAGACACUGAUCUCUGAAAAAGUCAAACAAAGAGACCAUGGGUUCAACACUUGAGACUUCAAUAGCAGAUGCCAACAAGCCAUACCAAAGCCUGAAGAAGUCACUAAUGUGAAAGCCAAAGGACAAAGAGGAAAAUCUGAGGAGCUAUAAAAGAGACAUCAUACCAGACUCUACUCCAGAAUGGAAAUGUCCAAUGCCUAAUCAGAAGCCAGGGAGUAGGGUGAAUGCGAUAGAUAAGAGAUCAUCAUCCCAACCUGCAGCCCUCAUUACUGCUCGUUCUAUGGAGUAGUCAUUUUUUGUUUUUGUUGUUUCUUUACUUCUCUAAGAAACUUGCUUUUGCUUAAAAAAAAAUAAAAAUAAAGGAGAUAAGAGAACAUCCAAUAAAAGAAGGCAAAUGUUGUGUGCAUAGAGAUUACUAGGUUAAGGAAAGCAGGCCAACUAGCAUUAAACCAACCCAUACCUUUGUUCAACACUUAGAAUGAAAUCUAAAUUUAUUUCUCUGGCGUUGAAUAAGCCUAUGACAUCAACCUGAACUACUCUUCUGCUCACAGCAUUCCAGACACAUUGACUAUUUCAUGCAUCUUUGUCCUUAUUGCUAUACCUGGAAUUCUA
RNAcentral lists this long non-coding RNA (725 nucleotides) under Homo sapiens (human). Its description in RNAcentral is "HSALNT0063672". The record is from RNAcentral. Lineage: Eukaryota; Metazoa; Chordata; Mammalia; Primates; Hominidae.